GUAUUGGUGGUUCAGUAGGAAAAUCCUCGCCUUCCAUGCGGCAGACCUGGGUUUGAUUCCUGGCCAAUGUA
Molecule: transfer RNA, 71 nt
Filed under: Loxodonta africana (African savanna elephant)
Lineage: Eukaryota; Metazoa; Chordata; Mammalia; Proboscidea; Elephantidae
Rfam family: tRNA
About the family: Transfer RNA (tRNA) molecules are approximately 80 nucleotides in length.
Source: Rfam by way of RNAcentral